UUGGGAGUCCUGUGAUCCCUUCUGUAUCUUUUAAGAAGUUAUUUUAUGUCUUAUAAUUGCCUCCAGCAUACUCACCAAUCUUGUCUAAGCUGAGCCUUCGGAUACAGAAGCUGAUUUGGAGGUGAUGGAUCAGAACUCCUUGGUUAAUUGUGAUGGUUGAGCUUCACAAUCAGCUUGACUGCGUCUGAAGCCAUAAAAAACGCAGCUCCGUGGUUCUCAAUGAAUAACAUGAGGGUGGAUUAAAAAGAAAGAACCAGUAUUCUUGAAUCUUUGGUGAACUCCAUUGAAAAAAAUCUUUGUGGAUUUGAACCUGGUCUUCAUGAGAUGCUAAUAGGAGGAAAGGAUUGUGUAUUUUGAAGCAGUCAAGUUCUCCAAAAGUCAUGCCUUGCAAGAAAAACACUGCUCCUCUUGCGCAUGAGAGACACAAAAUGAAGCUUGACUUCACAAGCUGUGUUAAUGAGACCUCA
This 467-nucleotide long non-coding RNA is filed under the name Mus spicilegus (steppe mouse). RNAcentral's name for it is "lncRNA (ENSMSIG00000010141.1)". The record is from RNAcentral. Lineage: Eukaryota; Metazoa; Chordata; Mammalia; Rodentia; Muridae.